GGUAUUGUGGCUCAGUAGUAGAGCGCUCACCUGGCAUGUGUGAGGCACUGGGUUUGAUCCUCAGUACAAUCA
This 72-nucleotide transfer RNA is filed under the name Ictidomys tridecemlineatus (thirteen-lined ground squirrel). RNAcentral's name for it is "Spermophilus tridecemlineatus (thirteen-lined ground squirrel) tRNA". It matches the Rfam family "tRNA". Rfam says of the family: Transfer RNA (tRNA) molecules are approximately 80 nucleotides in length. Their secondary structure includes four short double-helical elements and three loops (D, anti-codon, and T loops). Lineage: Eukaryota; Metazoa; Chordata; Mammalia; Rodentia; Sciuridae. The record is from Rfam by way of RNAcentral.